This is a long non-coding RNA of Ctenopharyngodon idella (grass carp), 1811 nucleotides long. RefSeq lists it as uncharacterized. NCBI's taxonomy places the organism in Eukaryota, Metazoa, Chordata, Actinopteri, Cypriniformes, Xenocyprididae. The transcript has 3 exons. The record is from RefSeq and is a predicted model, not a curated record.
AUUUUUAUAUUAAUAUGUGUUGAAUUUUUUUUCGAGAUUCAUUCAUUUGAAUGUUAUUUUAUAUAUAUAUAGUGAGGUGGAGAUGGAGGCCACACCACAGCAAACACAUGAAAGCCGGUCUGACUGUCUACAUGUGUGUUUAUUUCCAGCUGCUCAUGAAAGGAGAAGGUUCGUUCUUCAAAGAGAUGAAAAGAGCCGCAUGAAAGGAUGAAGGCUCUUCCUGAAAGACCUGCACUCAGGGUGUGUGAAUGAUGGGCAUGGAAAGGCCGAUGUGUAAAUUGAUUUGUGCUGAAGAGAGAUGUCCGAUGGUCUCGUCGGUGACUUCAGCUGCUCUCUGGGAAUCUCACCAAGUGGACGGGUGUCACGCGAAAGGCCUGUUCACAACAACAAGACUUGUUCUCAUCUGAUAGUGAUCGGCACGGACGUGAACAUCCUGGUCCUCCUUCAACCAUUACCAACCACUUUGAUGGCCCUAAGUUCUAGUUGUGCAUCAAACCGUACGGCUCUAUAUCCUCCUCCACGGAUUUCACUACUCCAUCCACCCACCAUCCAUCCGUUUUUGACUCGGCCCAGGAGGAUUAUGCCAUUCUUCACAGGACGAGAUCUCAGCGAGUGGGCAGGAGAGUCAGCAGCGAAGCCCCUAAUGACACAGCGACGCCCACGCACGUCCAAAACCAAUUUUACCCUCACUAAAAGAACAGCCCUCGCACGUUCCCAUGCAUACAAAUGGCCGAUCGAUGCCGGUCACUGACUCUCUGCCCUCUGAGAUUAAGUGAGCUCGGGUCCGGCGGAUCGAUUCCAAUGACAGGUGUUAGAACGGCAGUGACAGACACCGAUAACUCGCUCGUUCCCUUCCAAAAACAAUCCCUGGAAAUGUUGGUUUCCACUCGUAAUCUCAUUAGGGAUGUGAAUGGCUCCCUUUUGAAAGGCGCCGAUGCCAGAGAAGAGGAAGGCGGCAUGGAGAAUGACUAUUGGAUUAGCGUAAUCCAGACGAGAGCUUCAUUGGAGGGCAGCGUUCCAUCUCUUGUGCUGCGGCUGCAGAUAAGGCCGGCAUCUAUUGAAGGCUCUAGUUAGGUGUUUCGCAAUGUAAAGUGACCUGCUUUUGAAUAGAGCGCAACAGUCGGGCUCCGGAAGUAAAACCUCCAUUCAUUUUCUCCAAAAGGAAAAGUGAUUUUUAACAAUAACUUAUAAAACCUUUGAAGACAGACCUGUUGUGAGUUCAGAUGUUGUUAAUCAAUGAGGUUGAAAAACUACAUUACCCAUGAUGCUGUGCAGAAAUUUCCACCAAUCAGAGAGUCGCGGUAAGCACAUCGCAACAAAACUGGUGCGUUCGACAUGAAGUAGCGAUGCGGCGAACGAUUGGUGUAUGACGCGAGAGCGAUUCAAAAGCAUACCGAGCACCAUCAAAGGACUCUUACAGUGAAUUAUGGGUAUUUUCUAGCCGUUGAGCAUACAUCGGUUGAACACUCGUUGUUGUGGUGCAUUAUGGGAUUGAAUGAGUGCAUUCAAAAACAUCCACUAUGGUUUCGAACACCACUACACUUGGUUGUACCCUCAAAUAGUGCCCUAUUUAAGGAUACAGGGGGAGAUAUCAGAUACAGCCAAACACACCUAAAAGCUCUUUAGCUCCACCCACUCCCAUCAUGCACCACGAAUGAUGUAAUCGAGUCUCCCUAUGCUCUCAAAAUAUAUGUACAUAAUAUAUAUAUGCAUAUUUUGCAUAAAACUUUAACAACAUAUAAUAUACAACAUAUAAUCAACAACUUUAAAUAAAUAGUUUUAUAUUUCACUAUCGUUUUUUAAUUGCAAUG